Molecule: ribosomal RNA, 1383 nt
Filed under: uncultured bacterium
Lineage: Bacteria
Description: bacterial SSU rRNA
Rfam family: Bacterial small subunit ribosomal RNA
Source: RNAcentral
CCUGGCUCAGGAUGAACGCUAGCUACAGGCUUAACACAUGCAAGUCGAGGGGCAGCAUUUCAGUUUGCUUGCAAACUGGAGAUGGCGACCGGCGCACGGGUGAGUAACACGUAUCCAACCUGCCGAUAACUCGGGGAUAGCCUUUCGAAAGAAAGAUUAAUACCCGAUGGUAUAAUCAGACCGCAUGGUCUUGUUAUUAAAGAAUUUCGGUUAUCGAUGGGGAUGCGUUCCAUUAGGCAGUUGGUGAGGUAACGGCUCACCAAACCUUCGAUGGAUAGGGGUUCUGAGAGGAAGGUCCCCCACAUUGGAACUGAGACACGGUCCAAACUCCUACGGGAGGCAGCAGUGAGGAAUAUUGGUCAAUGGGCGCAGGCCUGAACCAGCCAAGUAGCGUGAAGGAUGACUGCCCUAUGGGUUGUAAACUUCUUUUAUAUGGGAAUAAAGUUUUCCACGUGUGGAAUUUUGUAUGUACCAUAUGAAUAAGGAUCGGCUAACUCCGUGCCAGCAGCCGCGGUAAUACGGAGGAUCCGAGCGUUAUCCGGAUUUAUUGGGUUUAAAGGGAGCGUAGGUGGACAGUUAAGUCAGUUGUGAAAGUUUGCGGCUCAACCGUAAAAUUGCAGUUGAUACUGGCUGUCUUGAGUACAGUAGAGGUGGGCGGAAUUCGUGGUGUAGCGGUGAAAUGCUUAGAUAUCACGAAGAACUCCGAUUGCGAAGGCAGCUCACUGGACUGCAACUGACACUGAUGCUCGAAAGUGUGGGUAUCAAACAGGAUUAGAUACCCUGGUAGUCCACACAGUAAACGAUGAAUACUCGCUGUUUGCGAUAUACAGUAAGCAGCCAAGCGAAAGCAUUAAGUAUUCCACCUGGGGAGUACGCCGGCAACGGUGAAACUCAAAGGAAUUGACGGGGGCCCGCACAAGCGGAGGAACAUGUGGUUUAAUUCGAUGAUACGCGAGGAACCUUACCCGGGCUUAAAUUGCAUUUGAAUAUAUUGGAAACAGUAUAGCCGUAAGGCAAAUGUGAAGGUGCUGCAUGGUUGUCGUCAGCUCGUGCCGUGAGGUGUCGGCUUAAGUGCCAUAACGAGCGCAACCCUUAUCUUUAGUUACUAACAGGUCAUGCUGAGGACUCUAGAGAGACUGCCGUCGUAAGAUGUGAGGAAGGUGGGGAUGACGUCAAAUCAGCACGGCCCUUACGUCCGGGGCUACACACGUGUUACAAUGGGGGGUACAGAAGGCAGCUACCUGGUGACAGGAUGCUAAUCCCAAAAGCCUCUCUCAGUUCGGAUCGAAGUCUGCAACCCGACUUCGUGAAGCUGGAUUCGCUAGUAAUCGCGCAUCAGCCAUGGCGCGGUGAAUACGUUCCCGGGCCUUGCACACACCGCCC